UUGAAAGGGAAACGAUUGAAGUCAGUCGUACCGACGGAAAAUCAGCUCUUCGAGUGCGGACUUGUGGGCGUACGUGAGCUUUAACCGGCCUCGUCGUUUGCUACGUUUGUGCUUUUUGGGUGUACUUUUCCGUAUGGUAGGCCAACGUCAGUUUCGAUCACCAUAAAAUGAUCGGAGGAAUGUAGCUUCGAUCUUGUAUUGAAGUGUUAUAGCCUUUGGUAGAUGUGGUGACUGAGACUGAGGAUUGCAACGAAUACCCUUUGGGCUAUCCGUCUGACCUCUGAAAGUUGCUUAGGUGCCGAAAGCUUGCUUACGGUCAUCUAUGACGACGGCCAAAAGGUUAGAACGUGAUUAUAUUCGUUAAGGAUGUUGACGUA
RNAcentral lists this ribosomal RNA (377 nucleotides) under uncultured Glomeraceae. RNAcentral's name for it is "LSU rRNA". The record is from RNAcentral. Lineage: Eukaryota; Fungi; Glomeromycota; Glomeromycetes; Glomerales; Glomeraceae.